Molecule: unclassified non-coding RNA, 337 nt
Filed under: soil metagenome
Description: partial contains 5.8S ribosomal RNA, internal transcribed spacer 2, and large subunit ribosomal RNA
Rfam family: 5.8S ribosomal RNA (bases 1-120)
Source: RNAcentral
GAUGAAGAACGCAGCGAAAUGCGAUACGUAGUGUGAAUUGCAGAAUUCAGUGAAUCAUCGAAUCUUUGAACGCACAUUGCACCUCUCGGUAUUCCGGGAGGUAUGCCUGUUCGAGCGUCAUUUACCCCCUCAAGCUCCGCUUGGUGUUGGGCGUCUGUCCCGCUUCGCGCGCGGACUCGCCCCAAAGGUAUUGGCAGCGGUCGUGCCAGCUUCUCGCGCAGCACAUUGCGCUUCUCGAGGCACCGGUGGGCCCGCGUCCAUCAAGCUCACCCCCCCAGUUUGACCUCGGAUCAGGUAGGGAUACCCGCUGAACUUAAGCAUAUCAAUAAGCGGAGGA